Long non-coding RNA from Enhydra lutris kenyoni (northern sea otter), 436 nucleotides. RefSeq lists it as uncharacterized. The record is from RefSeq and is a predicted model, not a curated record. NCBI's taxonomy places the organism in Eukaryota, Metazoa, Chordata, Mammalia, Carnivora, Mustelidae. The transcript has 3 exons.
UACUGAUGUGCACUUUUUCUCCUGUUCUCAGUGUUUUAGGAAGAAGAUCCUUCAUUUAAUUAUAUUCCAGACAAUACAUGGUCUCAGUUGCCAUCAUAGGUGGUAAUGGGUGAAAACUAGAAAAGUAUAAAACAGGAAACCACUUAGGCUUCUGAGUCAAGGAGAAAACCUGUCAAGACAGCGGUACAGUCGGGAGCUUGGAAAAGAGGCCGUGCUCUUCAAACUGGAGACAUAAUAAUAGGCUUCAAGACGAAGGCAUCAGAGUCACUGCCAGUGGACGUGUCCCAUGAUGAAUUUUGGAGUAUACACCAGGGGUUGCGAGAACAACUGAGCUAGAAUUCUCCUGUGCCUGUUACCAGAUCCUAGGCUUUUUCUGAGAAAGGAAACAUCAAAGACUGGACAAUGGCACCCGAGCUCGUGUUGCCUGAGUCCCAGG